Molecule: long non-coding RNA, 619 nt
Organism: Epinephelus fuscoguttatus (brown-marbled grouper)
Lineage: Eukaryota; Metazoa; Chordata; Actinopteri; Perciformes; Serranidae
Exons: 3
Source: RefSeq, a predicted model, not a curated record
UGUAUAAUCACCUGAAAAUAAGAAUCUGUGUUUUUUUUCUUUAUGUUAGAAUGAGUCAUUUAUAUCUACAUACUGAGCAGGUCUUCCUUUAUAGAGUCUGCCAUAUUUCUGCAGUAACCCAGAACAGACAAGUUUCCAACCCAAGUCCCUAUGGACUGAGCUACUGCCGCCCCUUUUCUUUUUAUCAGAAAAAAAAGGUCCAUUCGUUUUAGAGAAGAGAAGGCAUCUGCGGAUAAUUUGGCUCAUAGUGAAAACCCACUGAACGUCUCAAUCAGAAAUAAGGGCCGGGUCGAAGAGGCAGCAGGCCAAGCAAAGCACCCCAGACAUUCCUCUCCCCAGCAAUGCUUUCCAGCUCCUCCUGAGGGACCCCAACGUGUUCUCAGGCCAGAUGAGAUAUGUAAUCCCUCCAGCCUGUUCUGGGUCUGCCCCAGGGCCUCCUACCAGUGGGACAUGCCUGGAACACUUCUAACAGGAGGCGCCCCGAAGGCAUCCCGAUCAGAUGCCGGAACCACCUCAACUGACCCCUUUUGAUGCAAAGGAGCAGCAGCUGUACUCCGAGAAUUGUCACCUUAACGGGGUGGAGGGGUUUGUGUGUCCAUGAGAACCUGGGAGCUGUGUU